UCAUAGGAAUGCUUUGGUUGCAAAGCACUUUCAUGUCUCCCUCUUUUGCGAUCCGUGCGUACAUUAAGCAGAGACAUCUGGCUGGGGAGUCCACAACGAUCCCGGCUGCUCUUGCGAGUGAACAUGGGUUACAGGAGAACCUGGCAGAUAAUGGAAACUUAGGAAAACCGGGAACGGCCACCAUCUAGACGAGAAGGGCAGCACCGGGUCACCUACCCAUUGUGGCGUCCCGGUAGCUCGCCGUGAUCGUAUAGUGGUUAGUACUCUGCGUUGUGGCCGCAGCAACCUCGGUUCGAAUCCGAGUCACGGCAUUGUGGAAACAAUGGCACGGCAAGGGCGACUUUUUAGACUGGAGAAGCCACAUUCUAGUCAGAGAGGUUAACUCUGAAAACUGCUACCUGUCACGAAGCCAAGGCUAAAAUUAUAAUGGACAAUUAGAUCUCAUGACAAGUGAAAAAUAUGACUGCACUAGAGGUGCUGGUUCCUGUAGCCACCAUGCUGGGUGCCAAUAAGAGGUGUGUGACCUUCAUCUCCACAGUCUCCUAGGUGCACUGACAAAAUAGAGUGUCUGGGCUGGCAAAGCCAAGAGCUGAAGACCCUGGCCUGGAAUGACCUCAUCAAGACCCUGCUGCCCUCGGACACCCUCUCUGAGCAGUCAGUCAGCACCCCCUUCCCCUUGGUCUCUUGCUUUGAAAAUUGUUUUGUGAUUUCCGAUUCUGGGAUUGUAAUCAAAUCUGUCAUCGCUUCCAGCUUGAGGCUGGAACUCUUCUCUAGGUCUCAGUGCCACGGAAGAGGUAGGCAGUAUAAAAGCUCCCUGUUAACACAUUCCAGCUCCAGUUGUUCCCAUCUUGGUUGGAUUUGUUGAUUUCUGCAGGUUUCCAACCUCUAAGUCACUUUGACUUUUCUUUCCCUUCCAUCUGAUAGACCCUGAGGUACAGUAGUUGACAGUGCUAGACUAGUCCUAACUCUAAUUAAAGGGUAGCAUAAGCUGGGGAUGGUGGCUCAUGCCUGUAAUCCCAGCUCUUUGGAAGGCUAAAGUUGGAGGAUUGCUUGAGCCCAGGCGUUUAAGACCAGCCUAGGCAGUAUAGUGAGAUACCAUCUCUGUUUAAAAAAAGAAAAUUGGGGGAGCUAGCAUACCUUAGUAAUGAAGCC
Molecule: long non-coding RNA, 1152 nt
Organism: Callithrix jacchus (white-tufted-ear marmoset)
Lineage: Eukaryota; Metazoa; Chordata; Mammalia; Primates; Cebidae
Source: RefSeq, a predicted model, not a curated record